Molecule: long non-coding RNA, 845 nt
Organism: Capsicum annuum
Lineage: Eukaryota; Viridiplantae; Streptophyta; Magnoliopsida; Solanales; Solanaceae
Exons: 2
Source: RefSeq, a predicted model, not a curated record
CCCCACUCCGCCUCAGCCCACUCCACAAAUCGACCCGGCCUUCUUCAUCUUCAGCACAAUAACACGCACCCAGGAGCAAUCCAUCCAACACACAAUAGCUGUAUUAACAGCGUGCCAAAAAGUCAACCACGGCAAAAACAACGUUCAACAGCCCCGUGCAAGAACAACAACAUCAACGGUAGAAAACCCAGCUUCCCCAUUCACUGUUCUACCCCUUCAGUACAUCCAUUUGUGGCUAAAAAAUUAAGGACUUUUAGGUGUUCAGUCCAUGAUUCCCUGAUUUGGGCAAGAAUCAAUUCUUUCUUUUCUCCUGUCUCACUAUGGAUAUCAAAAAUUUUAGAAACAACUUUGAAAUUUUGAAUUUGAAGUCCACUCUUUCAAAACCCUACCUUCCCCUAUAAAUAGAUAGCAGCAAGGGACAAGGGUGAAGGAGGAGGAUUUUGGAGAAAAAUUGAAAGUUAUGAAGGCGUUUGCUUUUAACCUCACGAAACCAAAAUUCUCGAUGAAUACACUUUGAAAACUGAAUUUCGACGAAACUGUUGAACUCCGGCAAGGCUAAUCGACAUUCUGGUGGUGAAAGUCCAUCUGUCGAAGGCUCGUUUGUUUCUUUCGCUGCCCGAAAAUAGGUACCGAACCGACAACCUAUGGACAUUGAUUUCUUUGGUUUCUUCUGUGUUAGCAUCCUUGGAUAUUCAAAGAUGUUGCUAUUAUAUUCAGAGACUACUAAAAUCUCCUCUAACCUUAUUUUAAUGUAUUUUCCACAUUUUAAGAUAUUAAAACUCUUGUUUUGAAUUUUGUAUUUGGUGACUUGUAUUAGUGAACUGAGAUUAUCUAUGUUUUAACUA